ACCCACGCGGCGCUCUGCCUGCCCCCGGGUGCCGUCCGCGGCGGUUCGAUUGGAGCAGCCGCCGAAUAGCGCUUGGCGCCAUUUUGAAGCGGAGAGGAGGAGGAACGGCCGGGCUCGCUGCGGAAGGGGAGGGGGGGGGAGGAGGCGAUUGGAUGCGGCGGCGGCGGCGGAUCCCGGAGAGCAGCGGAGUGAGAGGAGUAGCGAGUCGGCCACCCGGAGUCGCGGGAGAUAAAGCGCGCCUACCGCGCCUCUUGGAGCUGGUGUUGGAGGCACCCGAGGACCUAGUUGAGGAAGAGUCCAGCACGGGCUGGAGUGGCUUCUCCCGGGCCACCACUGAGUUCUAGCUUUCCUUUCGGAAGCCUCGGAGUCGGAGCGACCAUGCAAACGGUGUGCAGCUGUACAGUUGACAUUUUUGCAGUCUCUUAUCUUAGUGACACCUGAAAAGUUUCUGGUCGAGAGGAAACGCUUGUUUGUGGUUUCUUGCUGCUGUUGCCUUUUGGUAUACACGUUAAAGCUACGCUAAGCCGCGGUACAGUUAUUCGAGGGAAUGAGUCUGAACCCUGAAACGCUGCACCUCGUCGGCUUCAGAGUUGCCUGUUCCUGCGUUCCUUCGCGGCCGGUGUAAACUCGGGGUAGGGUUUGAAAGAGCAGGUCCCUGCCUACUUGACACGUUUAGGCAUCCUAACCAACCCCCGAAAGGGAAUCCUUUAUUUGAUUUUGAAGGACGUGCUUUGAACGCUCUUCUCACACUUCUGUUAUGAAAUGAUGGAUGGGCAGUACUGUCCUGAACGACCCUACCCAACCCUGUUUGUUAAACCGUUUAGGAGACUGUGGAUGUAGCCUUUACGUUCGAAGGUUGGUCUGCGGUCUUGAGUGAGUUUUGGAGGUCUUCUACUGUCUUCCUAAUAACUUCUAAAAGUUCAAGUGUGUUUAUAUAUGAGGCGAGCUGUAAGUCAUAAUUAUUUAAAACUUGAAUGGCAGUAUAAUCAUUGUUCUCAACACAUGUAGAUGAAGUUCCAAGAUAGAGCAUUUUCUAUACUUACGUAAGCAGUAGUCAAGUAAAAUAGUUAAAAGCACAAAAAUGGUAUUAAGCAAAAUGUGGGCUAGAAAGGACACUUAUUUAUGCAGUACAUAUGUCGGAGAUGUUAGCAAUUUUAGACAAUAAGAUGAGCAUUCCUCUGGUGUGUGCAGGUCAGUUUGUGGAACGAUUAAUCUGCUAUCGUCUGGUGAUAGCAGAAAACCUAAUUAAAAUUUAUAGUGAUGAACAUGUAGGUGACAGUUUCAACAUGGAACUUCUUAUAGAAAGGUAGAUUUAUUUUGAAAACCUUAACUGUAAAAAAAAAAAAUUGAAAACAUUAUUCUUUAAAAAAAAAACCUUAAAUGAGAACAUUAUUCUUUCAAAAUAAAUGUACAAAUGUAUAUAGAAAAGGUGCACAUUAGAUAUUCUUUGAUUACUGAAAUAGUAAUUUUUUGUGUGUGCUUUUUUGAUGGUUUAAAAAAUUAUACUCUGGGUUUUACUUGAAUGUGUGAAUAUUUUAAAUGACAAGGUAGUGUUUGUAUUGGCCUUUAUUUUUUCUUAAAGAACUUUUGUGCCCUUUCUUAUUUUCUCCUUUUUUGUUGAGGUUGAUUCUCCUUGUAUUAACUUUGUUUUUUUACAGUGGCUUUUGUACUCUUCCUGUCACUUUCAUUCUUGUCUGGUUAUGUCUUUUUCCUCACUUUUCCCAAGAAUUAGAGGAGGUAACGUGGUGAAGAUAGUGAUCCUUGCUGUCGUGGAAUGUUUUGUACUAAGCGUAUUUGACAAGUAGUUCUACUGAGUUGGCUGUUGAAUAAAAGUUUUAAUUUCUAAAUUUACUUUAAAAUGGUUUGCAACUUUAAUGGAUACAAAGAGUCAUGUUUUGAGGACCAGGCUUUGUCAAUAAUUUGUUAAGCCUAAAAUAAAGUGAUACGCUGUAUUAGACAGGGCUUACCCUGGUGAAGACUGAAUGGUACCCAAAACUUUGUGUAGAGGGGAGUAUUUUGGGAGAUUGUGUUCUUUCUGCUUCUCCCUCUUGGAGAUUAGGAUUGUCCUGUGGCUUCUUCAGUGCUACUUCUUUUGAUCGUGUGUGCCUAGAACCAACAGGAGAGCUCACUGAUUUCGCUUGGAUGACAAGUACUGUAUAUAAUCUAUGUUAGAAAAGAAUAAAUUUGUAUUUCCUUUAUUAGUGUUAGAGAGCUAUAAGGAAAUUUAGAUGAUCUCCAACUCACUCAUUAUAUGCAUGAGAAAUUAGGUUCAGAUUGUAACUUGAUUGAUUUAUUCAAAGUCACAGUCAUAUUCUUGUGGAAUUGAGGCAGCCCUUACAUCUCCUGGAGGCUUAGAAGUAUCCACGUGGUCUGUAUUGUUUUAUUCAGGACUUAAGCAAUAUUUAAAAUUAUUGCCAGGUAGCAUAUUAUUCUCUUUCUCCUUUCCCCCCUUUUUUUUCAUUCAACCAAGAAAGUUUCGAGGUUAACCAUCUGUUUCAGAGUCUGGUUUUAAUAAUUUCUAUCCAGGAUUCGGUCCACUUAAAUUGUCUCAGAAGAUAACCUCUUGCAUGUCUCUGUCUCCUGGAGUUGCUUGAUCUUUCAUUGUGUAACAAUACUUGACAAGGCAUUUAUUUAUUCUUUGUAAGCCAGGGUAAUUUGGAAGUUAGUGUUGAACUUUAUUUUGUUAUAAGAUGCAUGUGUGCAUGAAUGUGUUAUUUUUUUAUUUUUUACUUUCUCUUUUUUUACUUUUAAACUCAAUUUGCUACACAAGUCAUUUGCUUCCAGUUACAGUAGGUGUUUGGAGAAAAUUGUAUUUGGUUUGAGUAUUCCUGUUUGGAAAUGUUAAAAAUUCCAAAAAUACUUAGUCUAACAAUAAACCCAGUAAUUUCUCUGAGAAUAUAUUUACUUUUUAAGUUCAUUUAAGAAGUUGCCAAAUGGUUCAAAAUUGUGCUUCCUUGGAGUGUAGAGGUCAGCUCUUCCUCACACUGUACUGUCAUGAACCACCUGAUUAUAACCAUUUUCCCCAAUACUUAAAAAGGUUUUAUAACUCUUUCUCACUGAUUAGUUCAAAAUUAAGGAUAAGUUUGCUGUAAUUGUUUCAGUUGAUAGGGGUGAUCAUGCUCAGUGAGAAAAUCGUGAAGAUUAAAGUCAGAUUAGUUAAAUUUAGUUGUUUAAACCUUAAAGCCAUUACUCUGAGAUGUUUAAAAAUAUCCAUGAUAGUUAUUGUGCUCUAAUGAUUAGACAUCAGUGAUAAGCAGUAAUUAGAAAUACUUGGUUUAGCUGUGUAAAACUUAUAAGUCAGCUAAGGGGAGUGGAGGAAAGACUGAUAAGCGGGAAGCUAAUUUGAGGCAUCUUUAAAGGACCAUGAUCUAGAAGUACUCCACUAACUUGCUUCCCUUUGACAGAGAUUGCUCUGACCUGAUUCAGUUAAAAUGAACAUAUACUAAGCUUCAUCUAUAUACUGUACCAUGGAUGAUGUAAUAAACAGGACAGAGACUCUGCCCUAUAGAAGUUUCGAGUGGUGGUUUGCCACUUGCACCAAGGUGAUGAGAGCUGAGAAAAACCAGAGUAGGAUCCCUGCUGUUAAGUGAUUCUACCAGGGCCAGGCCUUCCUCCCUCUUCAGUGACAGUUGAGGUUGCUCUUUAUGUGGGAGAGUGAAGGAGGGGACAUUAUGACCACAAGCAUUGUCUCUCUCUUGGAGAGAAUGGUUAGGGGGCCCAAAAGGAAACAAGAGUUUGUGGUUCCCUGGGCAGUGUAGGGAUUCUUUUUCCCUUUCAUCUCAGAGGUGGUUUUAGAGAAGUAAGGGAAGAGAUUUUUAAAGAAAAGUCCCAGAUAUAUAUCCAAAGUGUAUUUACAGAAUGCAUCCCUAAGUAGUUGAAAUUCCGCCAGGCAAUUUCAGUUAACCUUCAGAUACUGGGAUGGGGGUUGGGGUGCGUAUGGAGAGUUGGUAGUGAGAGUUGUUGUUAAGGUUGGCGGGAACAGAGUACUUUAAAGAACUAUAUUUUAAGUUAAAAGUUAUACAUGUAUAUGAUAAGGAAAUUCUUGUGGUACAGAAAAUAAAAAUAAAAGCUACUUUAUCUCUUCCCCCUAAAAGGUAAUCCACUGUUAACAGUUUUCAGAAAAUUUACUUUUCAAAGAAUUUAUGCAAAUAGUAUUAUACUUACUGCUUUUUUUGUUGUUGUUAAAAGCUAUAUUGUUUACUUUUUUCCUGAAAUUUACUUUUUUCUGUAGUUGAUGUCAUGUAGCUCUUCUCAUAUUGGCACAUAUAGAUCAACAUAAUUUAAACAAUGAUUAGAGUAUUAUAUGCAUGUGUCACCACAAUUUAUUCUGACUCCUUUUGAGUGGUAUGUAGGUUGUAACUACUUACACAAACCGACAGUAUAUGACUAUGACUGUUACAUGUUUGCCAACAUUGGGCCUUAUUAAACUUUAUGCCUUUUGCCGAUUUGAUAUGUGAAGUUUGUAUCUUGUUUUGGGUUUGCAUUUUGUUGAUUAUGAGGAGGGGAAAACAUUUUUGUAUGCUUAUUGGGCAGAGGUUACUUGCAGCGCACACUUUAGAUUGAGUAGAUUAAGUUAUCUGUGCACCCCUCCCCCCCCAUCUAAAAUGGUUUGAGGGAGAUGGAACUUUUAGAGAGAAAUAAGGUUUCAGAGCCUGUGGCACGUUGAGGGGGAGCAGUGCUCUGAAUGGAGAGGCUGCAGUGCUAGACUUUGAACAAUAACCAGAGGUUAAGUAUUGAAAGCCCUUAACUUGGUCUUAAUGGAAGAUUAUAUAAAGGCAGGAAGGGAGAUUUGAGAGUCAGGGCAAGUAAUUUCAUAUAGGGUAAGCUCUAUCUCCUACUGUCUGCUUGUCCUGUCUCACCACUCCCCCCUUGUGCCCCAACUGUCAUUUCAUUUUUAUUUAUACUUCCCUGGUGGGGUGGCAACCUUGACUUUGAUAUUUCAGUUCUUCCAGAGAUGAGGAACACUUAGUUUUUAUUAUAAGGGAAACUGAUUUUUCUUCAAACCAAAGGGAGCAGUUCUCAUUUCUAAUGUUCUUUAGAUCUAUUUUCUGAUCUUUAGUAGUCUCUCUUUAUAGUUGAUAUUCUGCUAGUUUCAGGGGCAUUACAUGCUGACCUGUGCAGAAGUUGGCAUGACUGCAUGAGCUUUGUUCCUAUUUAAUCCCUACAUGCUGCCCCCACCCCAGCUUCACAUUUUUUUUUUAAUG
Long non-coding RNA from Monodon monoceros (narwhal), 5204 nucleotides. NCBI's taxonomy places the organism in Eukaryota, Metazoa, Chordata, Mammalia, Artiodactyla, Monodontidae. The record is from Ensembl.